AUUGAACGCUGGCGGCAGGCCUAACACAUGCAAGUCGCACGAGUGGCGGACGGGUGAGUAAUGUCUGGGAAACUGCCUGAUGGAGGGGGAUAACUACUGGAAACGGUAGCUAAUACCGCAUACCAUCGGAUGUGCCCAGAUGGGAUUAGCUAGUGGGUGGGGUAAAGGCUCACCUAGGCGACGAUCCCUAGCUGGUCUGAGAGGAUGACCAGCCAAAUGGGAACUGAGACACGGUCCAGACUCCUAGGGGAGGAAGCAGGGGGGAAUAUGGCACAAUGGGCGAAAGCCUGAUGCAGCCAUGCCGCGUGUAUGAAGAAGGCCUUCGGGUUGUAAAGUACUUUCAGCGGGGAGGCGUUACCCGCAGAAGAAGCACCGGCUAACUCCGUGCCAGCAGCCGCGGUAAUA
Molecule: ribosomal RNA, 405 nt
Filed under: uncultured bacterium
Lineage: Bacteria
Description: partial 16S ribosomal RNA
Rfam family: Bacterial small subunit ribosomal RNA
Source: RNAcentral